AUGGCGAAGCAGCUUGCCGUGCACGCUCUCCUGCUGGUGGUCUUGCUCCUCGCGCUCUCGUCCGUUCACGCUGGCAGCAACUCGACGGCCUCGGCCGGACCACUGUAUGGCAUCGAGUUCCCGCCGUACAACACGGCCGUCGCCGACGCCGGCUGCGACGGCAGGCUGGUGGCCGAGGAGGCGGAGCUCGCGCGCCAGCCACCCUCCCUCAAGCUCCACAUGACCCACCGCUCCGCCGCCGAGGACACCGCGGGGAAAGCCUCCUUCUUCCUCGACUCGGCCGAGAAGGACGCGGCCCGCAUCGGCACGAUGCACGGCAGGAGGGCCGCGCUGGCCAGGAAGGGCUCGCGGCCGCGGCGGGCGCUGUCGGAGAGGGUGGUGGCCACGGUGGGGUCGGGCGUGGCGGUCGGCUCCGGGGAGUACCUGGUGGACGUGUACGUGGGCACGCCGCCGCGCCGGUUCCGCAUGAUCAUGGACACCGGCAGCGACCUCAACUGGCUGCAGUGCGCUCCCUGCCUCGACUGCUUCCACCAGACCGGCCCCGUCUUCGACCCCGCCGCCUCCGCCUCCUACCGCAACGUCACCUGCGGCGACGCGCGCUGCGGCCUUGUCUCCCCGCCGCCAGAGUCUCCGGCGGCGCCGCCAGGGAGGACGUGCCGCAAGCCGCGAAGCGACCCCUGCCCGUACUACUACUGGUACGGCGACCAGUCCAACACCACGGGGGACCUGGCGCUCGAGGCCUUCACCGUCAACCUCACGGGCGCCGCCGGGACCACCCGGCGCGUGGACGGCGUGGCGUUCGGGUGCGGCCACCGCAACCGCGGCCUCUUCCACGGCGCCGCGGGGCUGCUGGGGCUGGGCCGCGGCCCGCUGUCGUUCGCGUCGCAGCUGCGCGGCGUCUACGGGGGGCACGCCUUCUCGUACUGCCUCGUCGACCACGGCAGCGCGGCCGGGAGCAAGAUCAUCUUCGGCCACGACGACGCGCUGCUCGCGCACCCGCGGCUCAACUACACGGCCUUCGCGCCGGCCGCGGCCGACGCGGCGGACACCUUCUACUACCUCCAGCUCAGGUCCGUCCUCGUGGGCGGGGAGGCGGUGGACAUCCCGUCCGACGCGCUGGCCGCCGGCGGCACCAUCAUCGACUCCGGCACGACGCUGAGCUACUUCCCGGAGCCGGCGUACCGGGCGAUCCGGCAGGCGUUCGUGGACCGCAUGAGCCCGUCCUACCCGCUCAUCGCCGGGUUCCCGGUGCUGAGCCCGUGCUACAAUGUGUCCGGGGCGGAGAGGGUGGAGGUGCCGGAGCUGUCGCUGGUGUUCGCGGACGGCGCGGCGUGGGAGUUCCCGGCGGAGAACUACUUCAUCCGGCUGGAGCCGGAGGGCGUGAUGUGCCUGGCCGUCCUGGGCACGCCGCGCUCCGGCAUGUCCAUCAUCGGCAACUACCAGCAGCAGAACUUCCACGUGCUCUACGACCUCGAGCGCAACCGGCUCGGCUUCGCGCCGCGCCGGUGCGCCGACGUCUAA
This 1521-nucleotide ribosomal RNA is filed under the name Triticum aestivum (bread wheat). Its description in RNAcentral is "partial small subunit ribosomal RNA". Lineage: Eukaryota; Viridiplantae; Streptophyta; Magnoliopsida; Poales; Poaceae. The record is from RNAcentral.